This 86-nucleotide transfer RNA is filed under the name Klebsiella pneumoniae. RNAcentral describes it as "tRNA-Tyr(gta)". The stretch from base 7 to 79 matches the Rfam family "tRNA", at positions 5 to 66 of the family's 71-position model. Rfam says of the family: Transfer RNA (tRNA) molecules are approximately 80 nucleotides in length. Their secondary structure includes four short double-helical elements and three loops (D, anti-codon, and T loops). Further hydrogen bonds mediate the characteristic L-shaped molecular structure. tRNAs have two regions of fundamental functional importance: the anti-codon, which is responsible for specific mRNA codon recognition, and the 3' end, to which the tRNAs corresponding amino acid is attached (by aminoacyl-tRNA synthetases). tRNAs cope with the degeneracy of the genetic code in two manners: having more than one tRNA (with a specific anti-codon) for a particular amino acid; and 'wobble' base-pairing, i.e. permitting non-standard base-pairing at the 3rd anti-codon position. The record is from RNAcentral. Lineage: Bacteria; Pseudomonadati; Pseudomonadota; Gammaproteobacteria; Enterobacterales; Enterobacteriaceae.
NUGGUGGGGUUCCCGAGCGGCCAAAGGGAGCAGACUGUAAAUCUGCCGUCAUCGACUUCGAAGGUUCGAAUCCUUCCCCAUGGGGC